GAACCUGCGGAAGGAUCAUCG
This 21-nucleotide ribosomal RNA is filed under the name Alyssum turkestanicum. RNAcentral describes it as "partial 18S ribosomal RNA". RNAcentral also lists the same sequence under 1 other name. The record is from RNAcentral. Lineage: Eukaryota; Viridiplantae; Streptophyta; Magnoliopsida; Brassicales; Brassicaceae.